GCCCCUGUAGCUCAGUUGGACAGAGCGGCUGCCUUCUAAGCAGCGGGUCGCAGGUUCGAGUCCUGCCGGGGGCG
Molecule: transfer RNA, 74 nt
Filed under: Nocardioidaceae bacterium
Lineage: Bacteria; Bacillati; Actinomycetota; Actinomycetes; Propionibacteriales; Nocardioidaceae
Also listed under: 3 other names
Description: tRNA-Arg
Rfam family: tRNA
About the family: Transfer RNA (tRNA) molecules are approximately 80 nucleotides in length. Their secondary structure includes four short double-helical elements and three loops (D, anti-codon, and T loops). Further hydrogen bonds mediate the characteristic L-shaped molecular structure. tRNAs have two regions of fundamental functional importance: the anti-codon, which is responsible for specific mRNA codon recognition, and the 3' end, to which the tRNAs corresponding amino acid is attached (by aminoacyl-tRNA synthetases). tRNAs cope with the degeneracy of the genetic code in two manners: having more than one tRNA (with a specific anti-codon) for a particular amino acid; and 'wobble' base-pairing, i.e. permitting non-standard base-pairing at the 3rd anti-codon position.
Source: RNAcentral